RNAcentral lists this ribosomal RNA (450 nucleotides) under uncultured bacterium. Its description in RNAcentral is "partial 16S ribosomal RNA". It matches the Rfam family "Bacterial small subunit ribosomal RNA", at positions 354 to 796 of the family's 1533-position model. The record is from RNAcentral.
GUGGGGAAUCUUCCGCAAUGGACGAAAGUCUGACGGAGCAACGCCGCGUGAGUGAUGAAGGUCUUCGGAUUGUAAAGCUCUGUUAAUCGGGACGAAAGAGCCUAGUGUGAAUAAUGCUAGGAAGUGACGGUACCGGAAUAGAAAGCCACGGCUAACUACGUGCCAGCAGCCGCGGUAAUACGUAGGUGGCAAGCGUUGUCCGGAAUUAUUGGGCGUAAAGCGCGCGCAGGCGGAUCUGCCAGUCUGUCUUAAAAGUUCGGGGCUUAACCCCGUGAUGGGAUGGAAACUACAGGUCUAGAGUAUCGGAGAGGAAAGUGGAAUUCCUAGUGUAGCGGUGAAAUGCGUAGAUAUUAGGAGGAACACCAGUGGCGAAGGCGACUUUCUGGACUGUAACUGACGCUGAGGCUCGAAAGCCAGGGGAGCGAACGGGAUUAGAUACCCCGGUAGUCC